AGUGAACGCUGGCGGCAUGCCUAACACAUGCAAGUCGAACGGCAGCACAGCAGUAGCAAUACUGUGGGUGGCGAGUGGCGGACGGGUGAGGAACACAUCGGAAUUUGCCCAGUCGUGGGGGAUAACGUAGGGAAACUUACGCUAAUACCGCAUACGACCUAACGGUGAAAGCGGGGGAUCGCAAGACCUCGCGCGGAUGGAUAAGCCGAUGUCGGAUUAGCUAGUUGGCGGGGUAAAGCCCACCAAGGCGACGAUCCGUAGCUGGUCUGAGAGGAUGAUCAGCCACACUGGGACUGAGACACGGCCCAGACUCCUACGGGAGGCAGCAGUGGGGAAUAUUGGACAAUGGGGGCAACCCUGAUCCAGCAAUGCCGCGUGUGUGAAGAAGG
Molecule: ribosomal RNA, 389 nt
Filed under: uncultured bacterium
Lineage: Bacteria
Description: bacterial SSU rRNA
Rfam family: Bacterial small subunit ribosomal RNA
Source: RNAcentral